This 442-nucleotide ribosomal RNA is filed under the name uncultured soil bacterium. Its description in RNAcentral is "bacterial SSU rRNA". It matches the Rfam family "Bacterial small subunit ribosomal RNA", at positions 26 to 518 of the family's 1533-position model. The record is from RNAcentral.
AGAGCGAACGCUGGCGGCAGGCCUAACACAUGCAAGUCGAACGAACCCUUCGGGGUUAGUGGCAGACGGGUGAGUAACACGUGGGAACGUGCCUUUUGGUUCGGAACAACUCAGGGAAACUUGAGCUAAUACCGGAUAAGCCCCUAGGGGGAAAGAUUUAUCGCCAUUAGAGCGGCCCGCGUCUGAUUAGCUAGUUGGUGAGGUAAAGGCUCACCAAGGCUUCGAUCAGUAGCUGGUCUGAGAGGAUGAUCAGCCACACUGGGACUGAGACACGGCCCAGACUCCUACGGGAGCAGCAGUGGGAAUCUUGCGCAAUGGGCGAAAGCCUGACGCAGCCAUGCCGCGUGAAUGAUGAAGGUCUUAGGAUUGUAAAAUUCUUUACACCGGGGACGAUAAUGACGGUACCCGGAGAAGAAGCCCGCUAACUCGUGCCAGCAGCCGC